GUGUCAGCCGCCGCGGUAAUACAGAGGGUGCAAGCGUUAAUCGGAAUUACUGGGCGUAAAGGGAGCGUAGGUGGCUCUAUAAGUCAGAUGUGAAAUCCCCGGGCUUAACCUGGGAACUGCAUCUGAAACUGUAGAGCUAGAGUAUGUGAGAGGAAGGUAGAAUUCCAGGUGUAGCGGUGAAAUGCGUAGAGAUCUGGAGGAAUACCGAUGGCGAAGGCAGCCUUCUGGCAUAAUACUGACACUGAGGCUCGAAAGCGUGGGUAGCAAACAGGAUUAGAUACCCUGGUAGUCCACGCCGUAAACGAUGUCUACUAGUCGUUGGGUCCCUUGAGGACUUAGUGACGCAGCUAACGCAAUAAGUAGACCGCCUGGGGAGUACGGCCGCAAGGUUAAA
This 394-nucleotide ribosomal RNA is filed under the name uncultured bacterium. RNAcentral's name for it is "bacterial SSU rRNA". It matches the Rfam family "Bacterial small subunit ribosomal RNA", at positions 505 to 898 of the family's 1533-position model. The record is from RNAcentral.